This 115-nucleotide ribosomal RNA is filed under the name Oxyrrhis marina. Its description in RNAcentral is "partial Eukaryotic large subunit ribosomal RNA". It matches the Rfam family "Eukaryotic large subunit ribosomal RNA", at positions 617 to 732 of the family's 3401-position model. Lineage: Eukaryota; Dinophyceae; Oxyrrhinales; Oxyrrhinaceae. The record is from RNAcentral.
CUCGAGAUGCUGGCGAAAUGGUUUCAAUCGACCCGUCUUGUAACACGGACCAAGGAGUCUAACAUGCUUGCGAGUAUUUGGGUGUCAAACCCGGAUGCGUAAUGAAAGUGAAUGG